This 465-nucleotide ribosomal RNA is filed under the name uncultured Burkholderiales bacterium. RNAcentral describes it as "bacterial SSU rRNA". It matches the Rfam family "Bacterial small subunit ribosomal RNA", at positions 338 to 795 of the family's 1533-position model. Lineage: Bacteria; Pseudomonadati; Pseudomonadota; Betaproteobacteria; Burkholderiales. The record is from RNAcentral.
CCUACGGGCGGCUGCAGUGGGGAAUUUUGGACAAUGGGCGCAAGCCUGAUCCAGCCAUGCCGCGUGCGGGAAGAAGGCCUUCGGGUUGUAAACCGCUUUUGUCAGGGAAGAAACGCUCUGGGCUAAUACCCCAGGGUAAUGACGGUACCUGAAGAAUAAGCACCGGCUAACUACGUGCCAGCAGCCGCGGUAAUACGUAGGGUGCAAGCGUUAAUCGGAAUUACUGGGCGUAAAGCGUGCGCAGGCGGUCUUGCAAGACAGAUGUGAAAUCCCCGGGCUUAACCUGGGAACUGCAUUUGUGACUGCAAGGCUGGAGUACGGCAGAGGGGGAUGGAAUUCCGCGUGUAGCAGUGAAAUGCGUAGAUAUGCGGAGGAACACCGAUGGCGAAGGCAAUCCCCUGGGCCUGUACUGACGCUCAUGCACGAAAGCGUGGGGAGCAAACAGGAUUAGAUACCCCUGUAGUC